CCUACUGGCGGCAGCAGUGGGGAAUAUUUGGCAAUGGGCGCAAGCCUGACCCAGCAACGCCGCGUGAAGGAAGAAGGCUUUCUGGUUGUAAACUUCUUUUCUCAGGGACGAAGAAAGUUACGGUACCUGAGGAAUAAGCCACGGCUAACUACGUGCCAGCAGCCGCGGUAAUACGUAGGUGGCAAGCGUUAUCCGGAUUUACUGGGGUUAAAGGGCGUGUAGGCGGGACUGGAAGUCAGAGUUGAAAACCACGGGCUCAACCUGUGGCCUGCAGUUGAAACUGGAGUUCUUGAGUACUGUGGAGGCAGACGGAAUUCCUGGUGGAGCGGUGAAAUGCGUAGAUAUUAGGCGGAACACCAGUGGCGAAGGCGGUCUGCUGGACAGCAACUGACGCUGAGGCGCGAAAGCGUGGGGAGCAAACAGGAUUAGAUACCCCUGUAGUC
This 443-nucleotide ribosomal RNA is filed under the name uncultured bacterium. RNAcentral's name for it is "partial 16S ribosomal RNA". It matches the Rfam family "Bacterial small subunit ribosomal RNA", at positions 338 to 795 of the family's 1533-position model. The record is from RNAcentral.